RNAcentral lists this non-coding RNA (175 nucleotides) under Tumebacillus algifaecis. Lineage: Bacteria; Bacillati; Bacillota; Bacilli; Caryophanales; Alicyclobacillaceae. The record is from RNAcentral.
AAUGGAUGUCAAUCGACAGGUGCCCGUCACGACGGGAGAAUAGGGAAGCAAACGCGCGGGCCCGCCGCUGUAUUCGGGGACCCUCUCUGACCACUGGACCGAUUCGGUCUGGGAAGGACAGGGAAGAUGGGGAUGAUCCGAGAGCCAGAAGACCUGCCUGUCGAGAUGGAUCGUU